UGAGGGAGAGAAUCUGAAUUUUUAAGAAAGCUAAAUCAUUAAAUAUAUAUAAGCCAAACAAUUGAUUGCAUGAUAUGAAGGCUAAUAUAAUUCCAAAUGAAAGGGAGAGCUUUAACUCCAAAAUUUAUUGUUUCACACCUUUCAAGAUUGGAUAAAUCAAAUAACCAGACACUUGAAUUCAUUUAUGGAUUUUAUUUCCUUGUUUAUUGAGCAAUUCACUUUACAUAUACUCAAUGUUUUGUCAUCAUCAAAAAGGGGGAGAUUGUGGAGUGAUUGAUCAUAACCCUAUUUGAUUUUGAUGAGCUCAAAGCGUCUGAGUAUAUCUCUUGUUUACUAAUGAAUUCAAUUGAGUGUUUCAGUAAAAAUCUUGUCUAAAGUGUUUCUAGACUUGGUUCAUAAUAUUUUGGAUAAGUUAAGAAGUCAGUUUGAACCAAAGUCUGAGACUCGAGUCGACUCCAGAGUAUUACGAGUCGACUCCAAGCGUAUCAGAAUCACUAGCACGGGCUCGAGUCGACUCCGGAUCAUUACGAGUCGACUCCAACUGAGAACAGACAGACAAGCAGAAAGCA
This 569-nucleotide long non-coding RNA is filed under the name Phoenix dactylifera (date palm). RNAcentral describes it as "long non-coding RNA (PDAC_LNC010667)". Lineage: Eukaryota; Viridiplantae; Streptophyta; Magnoliopsida; Arecales; Arecaceae. The record is from RNAcentral.